GCGCUCGUAGCUCAGCAGGAUAGAGCACAGGACUUCUAAUCCUGUGGCCGUGGGUUCGAAUCCCUCCGAGCGUGCCA
RNAcentral lists this transfer RNA (77 nucleotides) under Mycoplasmataceae bacterium. RNAcentral's name for it is "tRNA-Arg". It matches the Rfam family "tRNA". Rfam says of the family: Transfer RNA (tRNA) molecules are approximately 80 nucleotides in length. Lineage: Bacteria; Bacillati; Mycoplasmatota; Mollicutes; Mycoplasmatales; Mycoplasmataceae. The record is from RNAcentral.